UACAGAGGGUGCGAACGUUGCUCGGAAUUACUGGGCGUAAAGCGCGUGCAGGCUGCUUCGCGAGUCUGAUGUGAAAGCCCGGGGCUCAACCCCGGAAGUGCAUUGGAUACUACGAAGCUUGAGUGCUGGAGAGGAGAGCGGAAUUCCCGGUGUAGAGGUGAAAUUCGUAGAUAUCGGGAGGAACACCAGUGGCGAAGGCGGCUCUCUGGACAGACACUGACGCUGAGACGCGAAAGCAUGGGGAUCAAACAGG
RNAcentral lists this ribosomal RNA (253 nucleotides) under uncultured bacterium. Its description in RNAcentral is "partial 16S ribosomal RNA". It matches the Rfam family "Bacterial small subunit ribosomal RNA", at positions 524 to 776 of the family's 1533-position model. The record is from RNAcentral.